UAGCAAAUUUAGAAAUCCAAGAUCAUUCUCUAUUUUUCCCAGAUCCGGAUGCGUUUUGGGCACACGAAUCUGGAACGUAAGAAAAAGUAAACGAAAUAUAAAUGACAACAGUUCUAAAGCUUUCGUGCUCUUGUGGUGUCAGGAAAGAGGCCUUUAUGUUCUGCUUUGGCACCGGAGUGGCUGCUUUGCCUUUAUGUUUUGCUUUGGCAUCGGUGUGGCUGCUUUGCCUUUAUGUUUUGCUUUGGCAUCGGUGUGGCUGAUGUUUUUGUAAAUAUGUUCAGAGCUGUAUACAUGCAUUAGUUAUAGGUGCAGCUUUCCUCCAUUGUACUCAGAGAGGCAAGUAGAUUGUAAAACUUUAGAGCACAGUAAGGA
RNAcentral lists this long non-coding RNA (372 nucleotides) under Prunus persica (peach). RNAcentral describes it as "long non-coding RNA (PPER_LNC005155)". Lineage: Eukaryota; Viridiplantae; Streptophyta; Magnoliopsida; Rosales; Rosaceae. The record is from RNAcentral.